GACGAACGCUGGCGGCGUGCCUAAUACAUGCAAGUAGAACGCACAGUUUAUACCGUAGCUUGCUACACCAUAGACUGUGAGUUGCGAACGGGUGAGUAACGCGUAGGUAACCUGCCUGGUAGCGGGGGAUAACUAUUGGAAACGAUAGCUAAUACCGCAUAAUAUUGAUUAUUGCAUGAUAAUUAAUUGAAAGGUGCAAUUGCACCACUACCAGAUGGACCUGCGUUGUAUUAGCUAGUAGGUGAGGUAACGGCUCACCUAGGCGACGAUACAUAGCCGACCUGAGAGGGUGAGCGGCCACACUGGGACUGAGACACGGCCCAGACUACUACGGGAGGCAGCAGUAGGGAAGCUUCGGCAAUAGACGAAAGUCUGACCGAGCAACGCCGCGUGAGUGAAGAAGGUUUUCGGAUCGUAAAGCUCUGUUGUAAGAGAAGAACGGGUGUGAGAGUGGAAAGUUCACACUGUGACGGUAUCUUACCAGAAAGGGACGGCUAACUACGUG
Molecule: ribosomal RNA, 505 nt
Filed under: uncultured bacterium
Lineage: Bacteria
Description: partial 16S ribosomal RNA
Rfam family: Bacterial small subunit ribosomal RNA
Source: RNAcentral